Long non-coding RNA from Esox lucius (northern pike), 589 nucleotides. NCBI's taxonomy places the organism in Eukaryota, Metazoa, Chordata, Actinopteri, Esociformes, Esocidae. The record is from Ensembl.
GCAGUGUUUCUCAGCGGGGGCGUUCAGAGGACAAUGGGGGUGCUGGACGUAAUAUUUUGAAAGGAGGGGCGUUGAGGUUGGUUUAAGACCACUUAUCUAGUUGAGUAGGGAUUCAGCCAGGUCCUCCACAUGCAGUCCAAGUACCGUAAUCGCUAUGACUUGAUGGCUUCAGGCGCAUUAACUUACCUCUGCAGCCCGGAGUGAAGAAACUGGCAGAGAAACACCAGGCGCACUCUCAAGAGCAUGGAGGAGAUACCAGGAGACGAGCCGUUACACGAGGACUGCUGGACAGGGCCGUAGAAGGGUAUCAACCCAGCAGCAGGACCGGUAUCUGCUCCUUAGUGCAAGGAGAAACAGGAGGAGCACUGCCAGAUCCCUACAAAAUGACCUCCAUUGAGCUACUGGUGUUCAUGUUUCUGACCAAACUGUCAGAAACAGGCUACAUGAGAAUUGGUAGGUCCGCAAUUGGUGCACUUUUCUCGUCACAGGUGAGAGCAGGUUCACACUGAGCACGUGACAGAUGUGAAAGAGUCUGGAGACGCCGUGGUGAACAUUAUGCUGCCUACAACAUCUUCCAGCAUGACCAGUU